GAUGAACGCUGGCGGCGCGCCUAGUACAUGCAAGUCGAGCGAACAGACGAGGAGCUUGCUCCUCUGACGUUAGCGGCGGACGGGUGAGUAACACGUGGAUAACCUACCUAUAAGACUGGGAUAACUUCGGGAAACCGGAGCUAAUACCGGAUAAUAUAUUGAACCGCAUGGUUCAAUAGUGAAAGACGGUUUUGCUGUCACUUAUAGAUGGAUCCGCGCCGCAUUAGCUAGUUGGUAAGGUAACGGCUUACCAAGGCAACGAUGCGUAGCCGACCUGAGAGGGUGAUCGGCCACACUGGAACUGAGACACGGUCCAGACUCCUACGGGAGGCAGCAGUAGGGAAUCUUCCGCAAUGGGCGAAAGCCUGACGGAGCAACGCCGCGUGAGUGAUGAAGGUCUUCGGAUCGUAAAACUCUGUUAUUAGGGAAGAACAAAUGUGUAAGUAACUAUGCACGUCUUGACGGUACCUAAUCAGAAAGCCACGGCUAACUACGUG
RNAcentral lists this ribosomal RNA (497 nucleotides) under uncultured bacterium. RNAcentral describes it as "partial 16S ribosomal RNA". It matches the Rfam family "Bacterial small subunit ribosomal RNA", at positions 28 to 507 of the family's 1533-position model. The record is from RNAcentral.